AUUGAACGCUGGCGGAAUGCUUUACACAUGCAAGUCGAACGGCAGCACGGACUUCGGUCUGGUGGCGAGUGGCGAACGGGUGAGUAAUGUAUCGGAACGUGCCCAGUCGUGGGGGAUAACGUAGUGAAAAUUACGCUAAUACCGCAUACGAACUAUGGAUGAAAGCGGGGGAUCGCAAGAACUCGCGCGAUUGGAACGGCGGAUAACAGAUUAGGUAGGUGGUGGGGUAAAGGCCCACCAAGCCAACGAUCUGUAGCUGGUCUGAGAGGACGACCAGCCACACUGGAACUGAGACACGGUCCAGACUCCUACGGGAGGCAGCAGUGGGGAAUUUUGGACAAUGGGCGAAAGCCUGAUCCAGCCAUUCCGCGUGCAGGAUGAAGGCCCUCGGGUUGUAAACUGCUUUUGUACGGAACGAAAAGGUUUCUACUAAUACUAGGAGCUCAUGACGGUACUGUAAGAAUAAGCACCGGCUAACUACGUGCCAGCAGCCGCCGCGG
This 500-nucleotide ribosomal RNA is filed under the name uncultured bacterium. RNAcentral's name for it is "partial 16S ribosomal RNA". It matches the Rfam family "Bacterial small subunit ribosomal RNA", at positions 30 to 523 of the family's 1533-position model. The record is from RNAcentral.